AUUGAACGCUGGCGGCAGGCCUAACACAUGCAAGUCGAGCGAACGGCGGACGGGUGAGUAAUGUAUGGGCAUCCGCCCGAUAGAGGGGGAUAAAUACUGGAAACGGUGUCUAAAACCCCCAACUACCGUUUGAACCUAUAUGGGAUUAGCUAGUGGGUGGGGUAAUGGCUAACCUAGGCGACGAUCGCUAGCGGGUCUGAGAGGAUGACCGGCCACACUGGGACUGAGACACGGCCCAGACUCCUACGGGAGGCAGCAGUGGGGAAUAUUGCACAAUGGGCGCAAGCCUGAUGCAGCCAUGCCGCGUGUAUGAAGAAGGCCUUAGGGUUGUAAAGUACUUUCAGCGGGGAGGCGUUACCCGCAGAAGAAGCACCGGCUAACUACGUGCCAGCAGCCGCGGUAAUAC
This 406-nucleotide ribosomal RNA is filed under the name uncultured bacterium. Its description in RNAcentral is "partial 16S ribosomal RNA". It matches the Rfam family "Bacterial small subunit ribosomal RNA", at positions 30 to 526 of the family's 1533-position model. The record is from RNAcentral.